Triticum aestivum (bread wheat) is the source of this 3011-nucleotide long non-coding RNA. RefSeq lists it as uncharacterized. The record is from RefSeq and is a predicted model, not a curated record. NCBI's taxonomy places the organism in Eukaryota, Viridiplantae, Streptophyta, Magnoliopsida, Poales, Poaceae. The transcript is spliced from 4 exons.
UCACUAAUUAUUACAUGCUCUUUCAUAGUUGAAGUACCUACGAAAGGUAGUUAUUUUAUCCUUCUAACACGAGCAACGAACAUUUUUUGCCAUGAAUUAUGGUCACAUUAUUGCUUCUUGGUUAAAAAAACAGUAGAGGGUUGUAGCUAUUUGAAGUGCAGAAUUAUUAAGUACAGAGCAAGGAUUCCAAUUGGUCAUACAUGAAGUGAUACUCUUGCAAGAGCUAUGCAAUUAAAGUUCAUUUAAUUACAGUUUCACCACACUAUGAAAAGGGUACAACCUACCAAUCUUGAGAGCAUUAAUGUAACAACUUUUGUAGCUUAGAAAUCCAAUGGGAACUAAUAAGGUAAAUAUGCUCCUUUCUUGCAGACUUGCAGUUCUGUUUUAUUCAUUACCCUGCUGCAAGCUCUUGGGUGUGUAAUGUAUAUAAGUAAAUUGUCUUUGCUUCUAGGUCCAAGGGACAAAAUUGCUGAAUGAUUUUGGCAUCUCCUGAUUUUCCUUCUCCAUGGUUUCCAUGUUCUGUGGUCUGAAUUCAGUUUCUUUUCUUUGUCUAAAUUCUGUGCAAAUUGAUGGAACCCACACUAUUUGCAAGUUCGGUUUGCCUUUUCCUUUAAAGAUUUGUACUGCUCUAUUUUUUUUUAAUUGUCGAGGCAACAAAAUACCCCUUAUGUCAUGUAUACUUCUUUGAUAGCAGUUUAUUAAGUGCUUAUACCAUAAUAUCUCUGAUAUACAUACUGUAAUUAUAAUAGUAGCAAUCUAAAUUUAUCAUUGGCUUGAAAAUAAAAUAUUUGUGAGGAUAGAACGGAAAUAUCAGCUUCACUCUGCAUUUCUUAUAGAUGUACCUCGGAGAAAUGCAGAAUUAAGAAGAGCUAUUUUCAAAACACCACUAUCUAUAUCUCUAUAUAUGUGCAUAACUCAGAACUCUUUUUGUCGGUACAUGAUUGUGCACCUCCUAUGCCUGCUUAAUUGUGUGUUCAUUUUGUUAAUCAAGAAGCAUAUGAUUUUAUGGCUGGGUACGUUGAAAAUAUAUAAAACCUUUCUUCUUUUGGAUAAUCUGUUUCCCUUUCCCUAAUCUUUGUUACUUGCCGACACAUCUAUGCAUACUAUUCACUACUGCUACCAAUCGCAUGCUUGUUUGUUCAGAUACUUGAAUGGUGGAACAUGGCUUUUGUUCGAUGGCGAUUUUCCAUUCUUUGUAUGUGUUGCAUUCUUUUGUCCAAAAAUAGAGAUGUACGUUCUGCAAGAAGAAAAUGCUAAGUCUUUUACUAGCAAAAAUUUCGAUCUUGCACAUUUAGCUUUCUACGCACAGUCUCACUAUCAUCUUGUGUAGUUUAUUUAUAGCGGUUGAAUACAAAAUUUUAGCCCUCCUAUUUUCGAGUAUGAAUCGGAAUCUAAAUCAGCAACUGUAAAAAUGAUUAGUAAUUGCGCUUACUUUUCAGAGUCUCCUCCUUUUCUCGCUGUUGAAUCCCUGCCACCAUCAUGUCCAGACUGGUUGUCUCCAUGGUUGUGGCGCCAAGGUCACCGCAUCUUACAUCCUGAUGCAUGUAAGACAAUAUGAUUAAGCUCCAUGUAUUUGUUAAUUUCUGGUCUUACUAGCGUAUAUAUUCAUUUCUAUUUUGUGCUCAUGGGCCCUCGAUGUAUUACGUACAAGGUGUGUUAGGUUGAAGCAUGAGGCUGGAAGGGGUCUUGUGCGAGGACUAGCAUUUGCUUUAGUCAAACCAAAAUACUUCUAAAAUUGUAGCUGCACUUGUUGGUUUGAUGUACAUGAGAAGCCCCAAUUUUGUUGGCAAUAGAUGCAUGGUUUCUCAGUAAUUAAAAUAACUUAAUUUUUUUGUAUGAUGUAUGGUAGUCAUGUGUCUGAUUUUCUUCGUGUAUCGGAUUCCAAGAGUUUUAGGAUGGGCGGUACGGUUCUCAUGUUUGAUGGUUUUUACUUUCACAAAAUUGGUUGAUGCUGAUGAGAAUGGCACCGGUGGUCUUUGACACUUAUAUUUUUAAUGUAUAUAAUGUUCACAAUUUUAUUGUUUUACUCUCUUUGGUUCAAUAAGAUUAAGAUACAUACUUUGCCUUGUGCUAAAUCUGAUGUCAUUCAGAUUAUAGGAUUUUUAGGAUAGGUUGCAAGUCUCUUGUUGGACGUUUUCUUUGUUUCUUAAUUUUUUUGUGAUAACAUAGGUGAUUCUAUUUCUACCUCAAACUUGCCUUUCUAUGUUUCAGUUUCAAGAAGACAUUAUUUGAUGUUAGAUGGCCAUUAUGUUCGUGUCAUGUGGACAGAGGACUAAUGGUACUCUUCCAUGAAGAGAAGCAAAUGGAUCAGUAUGUAGUAGCAGGUGCUUUGGAAAGUACAACUGUACAAUUAUGCGACAUAAUAAUGCCUGGAAAUUGGCCUAUGGCUGUAUCAUUUAAGAUAUUUUGGCGUCUCUGCCAUCCUAUGGUUGUUCAACUUCUCUUUUGAAACGAGGCUAUCUAGAGGAUUUCAAGUUAUGUCUUAGGAAGACAUUGAUGAAGAUUUGAGAGGCAGGGGGGAUUGCUCAAGUGGAAACAGAGCAAGAACCAGAAGGAGCUUAAGAUUUUGCUACUACCUUGCUAAUAGCUUUCUGAGAUCAGUUAGGUAUUAUCCAGGCCCAGGUACCCAUCCUUGAUGAUGGAUUCCACGAGCUAAGCUGCAGGGGUGAACUAAGUUGGGAUUUUGCAGCAGCGACGGUCACAACUACCGGUGGAGAUCGAGCUAACGAUCUCCCAAAAAAUUCUACAGAUUCAUCAAACACCGAAGGAGGUUAGUGUAUACCUGAGCGGCAACGGCUGCCAUUGUGGUCUUGCUGGAGCCUCCUUUGCCGUGGAAAGUCACCAGCUUCAGGGAGCGACAGUGGCAACUGCAAGGAUUCGGCUCGCCGAUACGAGCAACGACGACCCCAUUUGCCGAUUCCGCAGCUCCGAGCUGCAGCAGGACCUACCGGGCCACCGAGAUGCAGAUGGAGUUGUUGUGCCUCCGAGCUGUCGGGAUGCAGUGCCUUUGA